AUCACCAGCCCAAGGGUUUUCAUUUGUUGAAAACCAUCUGGCCUACAUAUGUGAUUUGAUUGUCACAAUGACUUAAAAAAAAUUGUUAACAUGUAACAAUUGGGAUAUUUUAAAUACAAUUGUGACCUUCCAGGUUUUCUUGAAAAAUUGGAAACCUGACACUCUGGGCUCUAAUUGCUGUAUGGCUACAACAGACUGAAGCUGAGCUGAUCUGCUGCUUAAACAGAGGAGUAUAUAGUACUAACAAGUUGGAGGCACAAACUGAGUCAGAAGCAAGUUUGGAUAAUUCCAAGCCAUCACAAACUCAUGCUCCAAAUGAACACAGGUGGGGAACCUGAGGCUCAGAGACAUGAAGUCAUCUGCCCCAAGGCACAAAUACUAAGUGACAGAGCCAGAAUUACAACCCAAAUGCAUCUGACACUAAAGCCUGCACUCUUUAGUGUCUCAAGGCCCUAC
Long non-coding RNA from Choloepus didactylus (southern two-toed sloth), 456 nucleotides. RefSeq lists it as uncharacterized. The transcript has 3 exons. The record is from RefSeq and is a predicted model, not a curated record. NCBI's taxonomy places the organism in Eukaryota, Metazoa, Chordata, Mammalia, Pilosa, Megalonychidae.